UACGUAGGGUCCGAGCGUUGUCCGGAAUUACUGGGCGUAAAGAGCUCGUAGGCGGUUUGUCGCGUCUGCUGUGAAAACUCGGGGCUUAACUCCGGGCCUGCAGUGGGUACGGGCAGACUAGAGUGCGGUAGGGGAGACUGGAAUUCCUGGUGUAGCGGUGAAAUGCGUAGAGAUUUGGUGGAACACCGGUGGCGAAGGCGGGUCUCUGGGCCGAUACUGACGCUGAGGAGCGAAAGCGUGGGGAGCAAACAGG
This 253-nucleotide ribosomal RNA is filed under the name uncultured bacterium. RNAcentral's name for it is "partial 16S ribosomal RNA". It matches the Rfam family "Bacterial small subunit ribosomal RNA", at positions 524 to 776 of the family's 1533-position model. The record is from RNAcentral.